This 798-nucleotide ribosomal RNA is filed under the name bacterium C10(2006). Its description in RNAcentral is "partial 16S ribosomal RNA gene". It matches the Rfam family "Bacterial small subunit ribosomal RNA", at positions 20 to 830 of the family's 1533-position model. The record is from RNAcentral.
GNNNUUUUUNUNUANGCUGGCGGCGUNCUUAACACAUGCAAGUNCGAACGAUGAUCNNCAGCUUGCUNNGGGGAUUAGUGGCGAACGGGUGAGUAACACGUGAGUAACCUGCCCUUAACUCUGGGAUAAGCCUGGGAAACUGGGUCUAAUACCGGAUAUGACCUUCCAUCGCAUGGUGGUUGGUGGAAAGCUUUUUGUGGUUUUGGAUGGACUCGCGGCCUAUCAGCUUGUUGGUGAGGUAAUGGCUUACCAAGGCGACGACGGGUAGCCGGCCUGAGAGGGUGACCGGCCACACUGGGACUGAGACACGGCCCAGACUCCUACGGGAGGCAGCAGUGGGGAAUAUUGCACAAUGGGCGCAAGCCUGAUGCAGCGACGCCGCGUGAGGGAUGACGGCCUUCGGGUUGUAAACCUCUUUCAGUAGGGAAGAAGCGAAAGUGACGGUACCUGCAGAAGAAGCGCCGGCUAACUACGUGCCAGCAGCCGCGGUAAUACGUAGGGCGCAAGCGUUAUCCGGAAUUAUUGGGCGUAAAGAGCUCGUAGGCGGUUUGUCGCGUCUGCCGUGAAAGUCCGGGGCUCAACUCCGGAUCUGCGGUGGGUACGGGCAGACUAGAGUGAUGUAGGGGAGACUGGAAUUCCUGGUGUAGCGGUGAAAUGCGCAGAUAUCAGGAGGAACACCGAUGGCNAAGGCAGGUCUCUGGGCAUUAACUGACNCUGAGGAGCGAAAGCAUGGGGAGCNAACAGGAUUAGAUACCCNGGGUAGUUCAUGCCGUAACGUUGGGCCUANGUGUUGGGGAC